GGGAGACAUCUGAGAUGUACAAUAACAUGAACACAGUCUUGUGUUGGGUCUUGAAUGUGAAAAAUGAAAAUCUAUGUCCCAAAAUAAGGCUAUGGGAAGUUGGAAGUAUAGACUCAAGCUCUAUGACAUGUUAGAAACAUCCUCUACAAAGACCAGAAAGUUGCACAGUUGGGGAAUGAACUUUAUUUUAUAAAAGAAAGGUUUGUAGCACAAGGCAGAAAAAAGGAGAACAAACGCAAACAGCUAUGAACAGAAUCCAGGGACCCCCCACGGGUAGAGAAGGGGCCCCGUUACAGCCCAAUCAAAGAAGCAAGGGAACAAGACUGACAUUGUUCCGAUUGAAAGUGAUUUUUACACUACAAACAUUAGAAUGGGCUGAGCUAAAUGUACAGUAUGAGUCAGACAGGCAGACAGACAAACUGACAGACAUAGUUUAUGUCUUUCACAGGAACCCAAACACAGAACCCCAUAGUCAUAUUUUAUAUAUUGACAAGACAAACGAAACAGGAAAAAAAAGUUACAGCUUUACAUACAUUGAUUGACCACUUUAAGACCAGAGUCGACAUGUUGCAUGGGGCAAUUUCAAGAGGGAGUCAGGGGUGGGGGAUGGGGAGAAGGAGAGAGAUCCCAUCUUGUUUUUUAUUUUAUUGAAGUAACAUCAAACCUGCGUGUGGAGGUAAGCAUGUCACUGGGGAGUACGAAGGAAGCGAUUCCCUUUAAAAAAGGGUCUCCCUUAACCAUAUCCCCACUCGCUUUGUAAUUCGCCUUGACAGUAAAUCAAUUCUCAAGCCUGGCCCCUUGGACUCCUACAACCCUGGGUCCUCCUCUCCCCUAACAUUCCUGCACACAUGAAUCAUUCCGACUCCUGGCUUCUAGAAGGCAUUUCCUGCCCGCCCUCUACUCUCUCCUUCUUUCUCUCUCUCUCUCUCAUUCUCUCUUUCUCUCCCUCUCCUUCUCUCUCUCUCUCUCUCUCUCUUUCUCUUCCUCUACUUCUCUCUCUCGCUCUCUCCCUCUCUCGCUAUUUAUCUUCUUCUAUUUCUCUCUCUCUCUCUCCUUCUCUCUCUCUCUCACUCUCCUUCUCUCUCUCUCUCUCUCUCUUUUUCUCUUCUUCUAUUUCUCUCUCUCUCACUCCUUCUCUCUCUCUCUCCCUCUCUCGCUAUUUAUCUUCUUCUAUUUCUCUCUCUCUCACUCUCCUUCUCUCUCUCUCUCCCUCUCUCGCUAUUUAUCUUCUUCUAUUUCUCUCUCUCUCACUCUCCUUCUCUCGCUCUUUCUCUCCCUCUCUCGCUCUUUCUCUCCCUCUCUUUCUCUCUCAUUCUCUCUGUUAGUGAAUCCUCUGUUGAAAGUUGGGCAGGAACCUGGCUGAGCUUUGAUUUGGACCCAGAGGGGGAGGAGGAGGAAGAAGAGAAGGAAGAGGAGGUCGAGGAAGAGGAGAACGAGGAAGAUUAGGACGACACGGCAUCUCAACACAGGACCGUGGCAAACCAGGAUGAUUUUGUUGUUUUGUUCUUGCUAUAUUCCCUAUAUAGCACAGAACUUUUAACCUGAGGCCUAAGGGAUACACAUUUGAGAAGCAGACCUGGUCCUAUGGCCUGAUGGAGCUGACUGCCUGCACCAUCCAUCAUCUAUCCAUCCAUCCAUCCAUAUAUCCCUCCCUCCCUCCAUCCAUCUAUCAUCU
Long non-coding RNA from Oncorhynchus tshawytscha (Chinook salmon), 1675 nucleotides. The record is from Ensembl. Lineage: Eukaryota; Metazoa; Chordata; Actinopteri; Salmoniformes; Salmonidae.